This 463-nucleotide ribosomal RNA is filed under the name uncultured bacterium. Its description in RNAcentral is "partial 16S ribosomal RNA". It matches the Rfam family "Bacterial small subunit ribosomal RNA", at positions 28 to 507 of the family's 1533-position model. The record is from RNAcentral.
GACGAACGCUGGCGGCGUGCUUAACACAUGCAAGUCGAACGGAAAGGCCUUUUCGGUGGUACUCGAGUGGCGAACGGGUGAGUAACACGUGGGUGAUCUGCCCUGCACUCUGGGAUAAGCCUGGGAAACUGGGUCUAAUACCGGAUAGGACCGCACUUUAGUGUGUGUGGUGGAAAGUUUUUUCGGUGUAGGGUGAGCCCGCGGCCUAUCAGCUUGUUGGUGGGGUAAUGGCCUACCAAGGCGGCGGCGUGUAGCCGGACUGAGAGGCUGGUCGGCCACAUUGGGACUUAGGUACGGCCCAGAUUCCGACGGGAGGCAGAAGUGGGGAAUAUUGCACGAUGGGCGCAGGCCUGAUGCAGCGGCGCCGCGUGGGGGAUGACGGCCUUCGGGUUGUAAACUCCUUGCGCCAGGGACGAUGCGUUUUGUGACGGUACCUGGAGAAGAAGCACCGGCUAACUACGUG